Molecule: non-coding RNA, 561 nt
Organism: Seriola aureovittata
Lineage: Eukaryota; Metazoa; Chordata; Actinopteri; Carangiformes; Carangidae
Source: the annotation of a RefSeq genome assembly
GUUGGAGGAACUAAAAGCACAAUCAGCUUGAUGUUGAGGAGAAGGGCUGUGCAGCAGAGAGGCUGUUUAGUUUCUUCAUUCUACUGCAGUGGAAGAACAUUGUUCAUCUGCUGUCUGUUUGGCUUCAACUCCUCCAAAGACAUGUUGCUUUACCUCUUUUGGUUUUUCUCUCACUUCAUAGCCAUGGGCUCCAUGAACAGCAUAAAGCCAGAAAGUCCUGAAGAAGUUGUUGAAGAGAGAACAACCAUCAACCUGACCUGUAAAUAUGAGGGUGCUAUCAACAAUAUCCAGUGGUACCAACAAUACCAGAGAUCCAGACCAGAGUUCCUGCUCUACAUCACAGAGGGAGGAUUGAUUCAUCCAACUCUUUCUGAUUUCACAGCUCACAUUAACAAGACAGAGAAACGUGUAGAUCUGGAGAUCAUCUCAGCUAAAGUGACUGACUCUGCUGUGUACUACUGUGCUCUGAGGCCCACAGUGACAGGAAACACCAAAACUCUGUACAAAAACCUUUGGAGCAAAGACAACACAAUACUCCACAACAUCCAGGUCCAAUCAUAG